Molecule: non-coding RNA, 2128 nt
Organism: Oryza sativa Japonica Group (Japanese rice)
Lineage: Eukaryota; Viridiplantae; Streptophyta; Magnoliopsida; Poales; Poaceae
Source: RefSeq, a predicted model, not a curated record
UCUGGUAGGGAUUUCCCAUGCACUUUCAUGAUAUUCUUCAGCUUAUCUCUGGAAGACCUGACUCUUUCUGACUCAACCAUUGCUUCACUGAAUGAUAACUUUUGCUGUUCCUGCAAUUUGAUAAUGGUCUCUUGACAGGAUUUAAGGGCAGUUGCUGUCAUUAAAGCCCUGGCUUCGUUAUCUUCAAGCACUGCACUUUCAUUGAACUCCUCUUGGAAUCCUUCCACUGUUGACUUGUGGAUUUUGCGAGGAUCAACCGCCGUAAAUGCCUUUGGAAGAUUGUCAUCAUCCUCUUCUAGCAUUGAGUACUGGACCUGGUCAGGGAAAGCAGUUGCAAUAGUAUGGUUUGCUUUGUGUAGCUCUCCUGAUAUGUGGUCGUAGCGUUCAGCAAGUGCUCUGUAUGCCCGAUACGCCUCUUCCACUGAACUGAUGACCUCUGGUCGCCUCUUGUAAUACAUCUCUGCCCUUUUUGCAAAGGAAUCAGCUUCCUCCCCAAGGAGGAAGAGAAUGAAUUUGACCCUGUCCUCCAUAUCUUCACAGUAACAGCAAAGUCAAUAAAAAAAUACCGUGCUGUUUAACGGUUAGAAAUAAAGGGUAAUUGCAGAAAUAUGUUUUUAGAAGAUAUUAUAAGAUACUCCAAAUAGAAGUGUAAAAGUUAGCAAUUUUGCUUGGUAUAUGGUGUUGAUAUCAAAGUGGUUUGUCCUUUUCCUUUAUGUGCUUGCCUUGUUUGAAAUUUACGCUUGCUGUUUUUUAUUUGCUAUUGAUGCUUAUGUAGAUAUUUUUCUCACCAAGAAAUAUGCUAGGCCAAGAACAUUAAAAUUGGAAGGGAAAGCAAAUUAUUUCCUUCUCUGGAUGACUAAUAUUAUCAUACAUUUAUGUUGUCAAGUGGCUCACGCAUUAUUACUGAACUGAGCUGUACAUAUUACCAUUUGACGAUAACAUCAUGCAAACCAAUGCCAACAAAAGCUACAAUUCAGGGAAUUUUCCAUUAGUUUGUUUCUUUCUUCCAGCUUUUACUAUAAAACUGAAAAUCAAUUAAGGCAAAAUCUGUAUAGAUUGUUUUCUCUCUUCUUUUUUCUGGUGUUUUUUCCAGCUUCCAUGGAAUCAGCAUCCUGUUCUGAACAUCAUUUCUUUGGCAUGACAUCUAAAACCUAUGGUACUACUCAUAAAUCAUGACUCAAUUUCACAUGAGAACUCAAGACAGCAAUACUAAAAAAAAUGUUUUUCUCUGUAGCUGUGCAAAAUGCUUCAGAUUUCAACUAUUUUUUCAGGGUAGUAGUUAAAACGGAAUAACUUUGUUUCACCAUUAACGGAUCUAUCUGAAAUCCUUUCUUUUUUGUCCUCCCUCUUUGAACAGGGUGUUGUAUGUGCACCCUCUUUGAACAGGGUGUUGUAUGUGCAGAGGUUGAUCAUGCAUACAUAUGGACUGAGAAGAUGGUGUGAUGAAGGGUACAAACCGUGGAGAUUGUUGUCGAGCCAUUUGGACUGCUUGGUGCGGAUGUGGCUCGCCCACCACCACGAGUAUGCGUUGCUCGCCGCCCGCUGCAGCAUCCUGCCCUGCCCUUGAGAAUUCUUCAGCUCGGGAUAGAGAAAUUGAAACAGAGGCUGAGGCUGCCAAAAACACCAUAGAACAAGGAAGGUUCAUUACCUGCAUUUGCUGUGCCAAGAAUGAGCUGUUCCUUGCUGACCAUGGAUGAUUUGGAGGAAGAAACGAACACAACAUCGCGGAUGCUUGUGCUUGGUGGGAAGCACAGGAGGCCGUGUAGGUUGGUAGUAGUGGAGAAGAAGUGGCUGGGUUCGCAGACACUGAGUGGUGGGUCCGCCGAUCCUGGUCGCGGCAGGUGAUGCUCUGCACGACGGUAUGAUGAACAAGGAAGCUGUCAGAUAAUCUGACAUGGCUCCGAUUUUGAUUGUUUUUUUUGUGCUGAAUUUUUUUAGCUUCUACCCUCACUUUUUAUUGUUAGCAAGGAAAGAAGUGCCACAAAUAUAGCUCCGUUGUUCCGAAAUAUUCGAAUAAUCGUGAGUAAUCAUCACUUCGUGAGUAAUCAUCACUAUAAUAGAUCAAAAUGACAAACAACGAGUUAUGUGUACUAUGCAUAUUCAAUCUUUAGAUGAGCAGGCGAAAUAA